GAUGAACGCUGGCGGCGUGCCUAAUACAUGCAAGUCGAGCGAACGGACGAGAAGCUUGCUUCUCUGAUGUUAGCGGCGGACGGGUGAGUAACACGUGGAUAACCUACCUAUAAGACUGGGAUAAAUUCGGGAAACCGGAGCUAAUACCGGAUAAUAUUUUGAACCGCAUGGUUCAAAAGUGAAAGACGGUCUUGCUGUCACUUAUAGAUGGAUCCGCGCUGCAUUAGCUAGUUGGUAAGGUAACGGCUUACCAAGGCAACGAUGCAUAGCCGACCCGUGAGGUUGUUCGGCCACACCGGAACUGAGACACCGUCCAGACUCCUACGGGAGGCAGCAGUAGGGAAUCUUCCGCAAUGGGCGAAUGCCUGACGGAGCAACGCCGCGUGAGUGAUGAAGGUCUUCGUAUCGUAAAACUCUGUUAUUAGGGAAGAACAUAUGUGUAAGUAACUGUGCACAUCUUGACGGUACCUAAUCAGAAAGCCACGGCUAACUACGUG
This 497-nucleotide ribosomal RNA is filed under the name uncultured bacterium. RNAcentral's name for it is "partial 16S ribosomal RNA". It matches the Rfam family "Bacterial small subunit ribosomal RNA", at positions 28 to 507 of the family's 1533-position model. The record is from RNAcentral.